GGCCGCAUAACUCAGUGGUAGAGUGCGUGAUUCCAGCUCUUCCACGAAGUCAUCCGUUCGACUCGGGUUGUGGUCA
This is a non-coding RNA of Talaromyces islandicus, 76 nucleotides long. NCBI's taxonomy places the organism in Eukaryota, Fungi, Ascomycota, Eurotiomycetes, Eurotiales, Trichocomaceae. The record is from the annotation of a GenBank genome assembly.